RNAcentral lists this ribosomal RNA (927 nucleotides) under uncultured bacterium. RNAcentral describes it as "SSU rRNA". It matches the Rfam family "Bacterial small subunit ribosomal RNA", at positions 8 to 916 of the family's 1533-position model. The record is from RNAcentral.
AGAGUUUGAUCAUGGCUCAGAACGAACGUUAGCGCGCCGCUAAUACAUGCAAGUCGAGCGAGAAAGGGCUUCGGCCCCAGUAAAGCGGCGCACGGGUGAGUAACACGUAGGUGAUCUCCCCUAGAGUGGUGGAUAACCCUCCGAAAGGAGGGCUAAUACAGCAUGAGACCACGAUCCCGCUGGGAUUGCGGUCAAAGCAGGCCUCUUCAUGAAAGCUUGCGCUCUGGGAUGAGCCUGCGGCCCAUCAGCUAGUUGGUAAGGUAACGGCUUACCAAGGCUAAGACGGGUAGCUGGUCUGAGAGGAUGAGCAGCCACACUGGAACUGAAACACGGUCCAGACUCCUACGGGAGGCAGCAGUAGGGAAUCUUGCGCAAUGGGCGAAAGCCUGACGCAGCGACGCCGCGUGAGCGAUGAAGGCCUUCGGGUUGUAAAGCUCUGUGGGGAGAGACGAAUAAGGCAUGGCUAACAUCCAUGUCGAUGACGGUAUCUCCUUAGCAAGCACCGGCUAACUCUGUGCCAGCAGCCGCGGUAAGACAGAGGGUGCGAACGUUGUUCGGAAUUACUGGGCGUAAAGCGCGUGUAGGCGGCAACGCAAGUCGGGCGUGAAAUCCCACGGCUCAACCGUGGAAGUGCACUCGAAACUGCGUAGCUAGAGUCCUGGAGAGGAAGGUGGAAUGCUUGGUGUAGAGGUGAAAUUCGUAGAUAUCAAGCGGAACACCGGUGGCGAAGGCGGCCUUCUGGACAGUGACUGACGCUGAGACGCGAAAGCGUGGGGAGCAAACAGGAUUAGAUACCCUGGUAGUCCACGCCGUAAACGAUGAGUGCUGGGUGUCACGGGCUUUGACCCUCGUGGUGCCGAAGCUAACGCGUUAAGCACUCCGCCUGGGGAGUACGGCCGCAAGGCUAAAACUCAAAUGAAUUGACGG